UACGAAGGGGGCUAGCGUUGCUCGGAAUCAUUGGGCGUAAAGCGCGCGUAGGCGGCCUCAUAAGUCCGUUGUGAAAGUCAAAGGCUCAACCUUUGAAAGCCGAUGGAUACUGUGAGGCUAGAGUCCGGAAGAGGCGAGUGGAAUUCCUGGUGUAGCGGUGGAAUGCGCAGAUAUCAGGAGGAACACCAAUAGCGAAGGCAGCUCGCUGGGACGGUACUGACGCUAAGGCGCGAAAGCGUGGGGAGCGAACAGG
RNAcentral lists this ribosomal RNA (253 nucleotides) under uncultured bacterium. RNAcentral's name for it is "partial 16S ribosomal RNA". It matches the Rfam family "Bacterial small subunit ribosomal RNA", at positions 524 to 776 of the family's 1533-position model. The record is from RNAcentral.